This 697-nucleotide ribosomal RNA is filed under the name uncultured bacterium. RNAcentral's name for it is "partial 16S ribosomal RNA". It matches the Rfam family "Bacterial small subunit ribosomal RNA", at positions 985 to 1447 of the family's 1533-position model. The record is from RNAcentral.
CAUGGCGUGUUAUGGGGAGAGAUCCUCAGUCCUCUUCGGAGGCGCGCACACAGGUGCUGCAUGGCUGUCGUCAGCUCGUGUCGUGAGAUGUUGGGUUAAGUCCCGCAACGAGCGCAACCCACGUCCUUAGUUGCCAUCAUUCAGUUGGGCACUCUAGUGCGUGUUAUUGAGCGGAGGCGUGCCAUUAUUUGAAGCCAUCUUCUUCGACACCCAAAAGAGUUGGCUUACAAAUGGCUUAACAACUUUGGUGGGCUUUCAGGGCACGGACUUGAAAAUCGCCGGGGCCGUCCUGUACCCAAAAAGCUCGAAAAACUUUCCGAACUAUCUUAUCUUGAUCGUCGCUCGGACGGUUUCUCAGACGAACGCCUGCAUCUGGUUCAUAAUACGCUCUAGGGAGACUGCCGGUGAUAAGCCGCGAGGAAGGUGUGGAUGACGUCAAGUCCUCAUGGCCCUUACGGGAUGGGCUACACACGUGCUACAAUGGCGGUGACAGUGGGAUGCGAAGGGGCGACCUGGAGCAAAUCCCCAAAAACCGUCUCAGUUCAGAUUGCACUCUGCAACUCGAGUGCAUGAAGGCGGAAUCGCUAGUAAUCGUGGAUCAGCAUGCCACGGUGAAUACGUUCCCGGGCCUUGUACACACCGCCCGUCACACCAUGGGAGUUGGUCUUACCCGACGGCGCUGCGCCAACCGCAAGGA